GAAAUGCGAUAAGUAAUGUGAAUUGCAGAAUUCAGUGAAUCAUCGAAUCUUUGAACGCACCUUGCGCUCCUUGGUAUUCCUUGGAGCAUGCCUGUUUGAGUAUCAUGAAAUCUUCAAAGUAAAUCUUUUGUUAACUCAAUUGGUUUCUACUUUGGCAUUGGAGGUCUUUGCAGCUUCACACCUGCUCCUCUUUGUUCAUUAGCUGGAUCUCAGUGUUAUGCUUGGUUCCACUCGGCGUGAUAAGUUAUCUAUCGCUGAGGACACUGUAAAAGGUGGCCAAGGUAAAUGCAGAUGAACCGCUUCUAAUAGUCCAUUGACUUGGACAAUACUUUUAUGAUCUGAUCUCAAAUCAGGUAGGACUACCUGCUGAACUUAAGC
RNAcentral lists this unclassified non-coding RNA (378 nucleotides) under plant metagenome. RNAcentral's name for it is "partial contains 5.8S ribosomal RNA, internal transcribed spacer 2, and large subunit ribosomal RNA". The stretch from base 1 to 105 matches the Rfam family "5.8S ribosomal RNA", at positions 50 to 154 of the family's 154-position model. The record is from RNAcentral.